RNAcentral lists this ribosomal RNA (398 nucleotides) under uncultured bacterium. Its description in RNAcentral is "bacterial SSU rRNA". It matches the Rfam family "Bacterial small subunit ribosomal RNA", at positions 28 to 417 of the family's 1533-position model. The record is from RNAcentral.
GACGAACGCUGGCGGCGUGCUUAACACAUGCAAGUCGAGCGGUAAGGCCCUUUCGGGGGUACGACGAGCGGCGAACGGGUAGGAGUAACACGUGGGUGACCUGCCCUCCAGCUCUGGGAGUAAGCCUGGGAAACGUAGGGUCGUAAUAACUGGAUAAUGACUCCACGGUGCAUGUCGUGGGGUGGAAAGCCUUGUGCGGCUGAGGAUGGGCCCGCGGCCUAUCAGCUUGUUGGUGGGGUGAGGCCUACCCAAGGCGACGACGGGUAGCCGGCCUGAGAGGGCGACCGGCCACACUGGGACUGAGACACGGCCCAGACUCCUACGGGAGGCAGCAGUGGGGAAUCUUGCGCAAUGGGCGAAAGCCUGACGCAGCGACGCCGCGUGAGGGAUGACGGCCU